CCUACGGGAGGCAGCAGUGAGGAAUAUUGGUCAAUGGACGCAAGUCUGAUCCAGCCAUGCCGCGUGCAGGAAGACGGCUCUCUGAGUUGUAAACUGCGUUUGUACGAGGGUAAAAGCAGAUACGCGUAUCUGUCUGACAGUAUCGUACGAAUAAGGAUCGGCGAACUACGUGCCAGCCGCCGCGGUAAUACGGAGGAUGCAAGCGUUAUCCGGAUUUAUUGGGUUUAACGGGUUCGUAGGCGGUCGGAUAAGUUAGAUGUGAAAUCCCGGGGCUUAACUUCGGAAUUGCCUUUGAUACUGUUCUUCUAGAGAGAAGUUGCGGUAGGCGGAAUGUAUGGUGUAGCGGGGAAAUGCGUAGAGA
RNAcentral lists this ribosomal RNA (361 nucleotides) under uncultured bacterium. Its description in RNAcentral is "partial 16S ribosomal RNA". It matches the Rfam family "Bacterial small subunit ribosomal RNA", at positions 338 to 696 of the family's 1533-position model. The record is from RNAcentral.